GACGAACCGUGCGAACGUUGUUCGGAAUCACUGGGCUUAAAGGGCGCGUAGGCGGGCUCGUAAGUUCGGGGUGAAAGCCCGCGGCUCAACCGCGGAAGCGCCUCGGAUACUGCGGGCCUGGAGGGAGGUAGGGGCGUGCGGAACUUCCGGUGGAGCGGUGAAAUGCGUAGAUAUCGGAAGGAACACCGGUGGCGAAAGCGGCGCGCUGGACCUCUUCUGACGCUGAGGCGCGAAAGCCAGGGGAGCAAACGGG
This 253-nucleotide ribosomal RNA is filed under the name uncultured bacterium. RNAcentral describes it as "partial 16S ribosomal RNA". It matches the Rfam family "Bacterial small subunit ribosomal RNA", at positions 524 to 776 of the family's 1533-position model. The record is from RNAcentral.